GACGAACGCUGGCGGCGUGCUUAACACAUGCAAGUCGAACGGAAAGGCCUGCUUUCCCUUGUGGAUUGCGGGUACUCGAGUGGCGAACGGGUGAGUAACACGUGAGUGAUCUGCCCCCAACUUGGGUAUAAGCCUGGGAAACUGGGUCUAAUUCCCGAUAGGACUGCAGGGUGGUGCCUGUGGUGGAAAACGAUUUUCUAGUGGUUGGGGAUGAGCUCGCGGCCUAUCAGCUUGUUGGUGGGGUAAUGGCCUACCAAGGCGGCGACGGGUAGCCGGCCUGAGAGGGUGGACGGCCACAUUGGGACUGAGAUACGGCCCAGACUCCUACGGGAGGCAGCAGUGGGGAAUAUUGCACAAUGGGCGGAGGCCUGAUGCAGCGACGCCGCGUGGGGGAUGACGGCCUACGGGUUGUAAACUCCUUUCGACCGCGAGGAAGCCACCUGGUUGGAAGGGUGGUGACGGUAGUGGUAGAAGAAGCACCGGCUAACUACGUG
RNAcentral lists this ribosomal RNA (494 nucleotides) under uncultured bacterium. Its description in RNAcentral is "partial 16S ribosomal RNA". It matches the Rfam family "Bacterial small subunit ribosomal RNA", at positions 28 to 507 of the family's 1533-position model. The record is from RNAcentral.